GAACACAUAACUGCUCCCGCUUAACCAAGACCUAUGGGAGGAUAAAUUACGUCUUAAUAUCCAGUAGUGAGGGAUUACUGGAAAUAAGUUUCGCA
The submitters of this non-coding RNA (95 nucleotides) gave its source as unclassified sequences. The record is from Rfam.